AGUGAACGCUGGCGGUAGGCCUAACACAUGCAAGUCGAACGGCAGCACAGUAAGAGCUUGCUCUUACGGGUGGCGAGUGGUGGACGGGUGAGGAAUACAUCGGAAUCUACUUUUUCGUGGGGGAUAACGUAGGGAAACUUACGCUAAUACCGCAUACGACCUACGGGUGAGAGCAGGGGAUCUUCGGACCUUGCGCGAUUGAAUGAGCCGAUGUCGGAUUAGCUAGUUGGCGGGGUAAAGGCCCACCAAGGCGACGAUCCGUAGCUGGUCUGAGAGGAUGAUCAGCCACACUGGAACUGAGACACGGUCCAGACUCCUACGGGAGGCAGCAGUGGGGAAUAUUGGACAAUGGGCGCAAGCCUGAUCCAGCCAUACCGCGUGGGUGAAGAAGGCCUUCGGGUUGUAAAGCCCUUUUGUUGGGAAAGAAAAGCAGCAGGUUAAUACCCCGCUGUUCUGACGGUACCCAAAGAAUAAGCACCGGCUAACUUCGUG
RNAcentral lists this ribosomal RNA (492 nucleotides) under uncultured bacterium. RNAcentral's name for it is "partial 16S ribosomal RNA". It matches the Rfam family "Bacterial small subunit ribosomal RNA", at positions 29 to 507 of the family's 1533-position model. The record is from RNAcentral.